This 274-nucleotide ribosomal RNA is filed under the name uncultured bacterium. Its description in RNAcentral is "partial 16S ribosomal RNA". It matches the Rfam family "Bacterial small subunit ribosomal RNA", at positions 523 to 796 of the family's 1533-position model. The record is from RNAcentral.
CUACGGAGGGUGCAAGCGUUACUCGGAAUCACUGGGCGUAAAGCGCGCGCAGGCGGCUAUUUAAGUUGGAUGUGAAAGCCUACGGCUCAACCGUAGAACUGCAUCCAAAACUAUUAGACUAGAGUGUGGGAGAGGAAGAUGGAAUUAGUUGUGUAGGGGUAAAAUCCGUAGAGAUAACUAGGAAUACCAAAAGCGAAGGCAAUCUUCUGGAACACUACUGACGCUGAGGCGCGAAAGCGUGGGGAGCAAACAGGAUUAGAUACCCUAGUAGUCC